GAAGAGGAAGAGGAAGAAGAAAAAGAAGAAGAAGAAGAAGAAGAAGAAGAAGAAGAAGAAGAAGAAGAAGAAGAAGAAGAAGAAGAAGAAGAAGAAGAAGAGGAAGAAGAAGCAACUACCUACUCUUAAAUGAUACCAAGGACCAGUUAGUUUAAAUAAAUAACUAAAAGGCUUCCCUUCACAAGACAGGAAAACCACUGCUCUGUUUAGGUUCUGCCAGACUGGAAUCUUCAGAGGUCAGAUUAGGGUCAAGGGACGAAGAUAACUCAAGAGUCUGUAGUCAUGGCCAAACUGUAAGCUCCUCACCAAGCCCAGAGCCUUCUGGCUCCCUUUAAAAUAAGGUGUCAAUAGGGACCCCCACUUAUGCUACCCAUACAUUUGGGUGUGACUGUUGCGGUGAGCAUAGAGACAUCUGAAGACUAGCUGGGGAGGACAGAGUUCCUUACGGGUUGUGGUGCAGCUGUACAAGGGCUGGGACUUGUGUUGGCAUCCUUCCUCAGACCUUACACACCAUAUUCAAAUGGAAGGUUUCUGUGUUUCAGGAAGCUUCAUCCUUGCUGCCGUCUGUUUAAAUCCUUUCCUGACAUUUCUGAGACCCAGAGGCUCAAGUCCCAUCUCAAUGGGACUCCGGCACCGUUAGACGGCUCACAGUGUACCAGGUUAAGUCCUUCUGAUUCCUGAGGACCGUGGCUUGGUUACGGGCCAAAGUCCACCCUCAGGGGCCUGCUGGUCAGAGUUGGCACCGGUCAUCUGCUCUCUCCAUUGGCAAAGUCUCUUCUGGGAACUCAGCCCAGAGAAGAGAUCACUGGAGCCCUAUUUUCUCAGUGGUCUUUAACCGAAGAUUUUGACGUAAGAGCUCUGAGAGCAAAAGGCUGUUUUCUGAAACUCAGAUUUAUUUUUAAAAAAAAUCACCAGAGUGUCCCAGUCCCUUGCAAAUGCAGGUCCCAGGGGCAGAGGAUAUGGCUCAGUGAGUAAGAGCAGUUUCUGGGCAAGUGUGAGGAUCUGAGUUUGAAUCCCCAGCAUCUGUAAGAAAAACCUGGCAUGACUGUGCAUGUAACCCCAGCACUGUGGAUGUGCAGGCAUGUAACCCCAGCACUGUAGAUGUUCAUGCAUGUAACCCCAGCACUGUGGAUGUUCAUGCAUGUAACCCCAGCACUGUGGAUGUGCAUGCAUGUAAUCCCAGCACUGUGGAUGUGCAUGCAUGUAACCCCAGCACUGUGGAUGUGCAUGCAUGUAACCCCAGCACUGUGGAUGUGCAUGCAUGUAACCCCAGCACUGUGGGGGUACACGCAUGUAACCCUAGCACUGUGGAUGUGCAUGCAUGUAACCCCAGCACUGUGGGGGUGCACGCAUGUAACCCCAGCACUGUGGAGAUGGAAGUGGGGUGCUCUGACUAUCAGCUUAGCUCCAGGUUCAGUAAUAGACCUUGUCUCAAGGGAAUGAGACGGAGAGUCAAAGAGCAGGACACUCAGUGUCUUCCCCUAUCCUCAGUGCUUAUAUGCACACACACCCACACACAUGUGCACAUACACCCAUUACAUAGACACAAAUAUGGACCCCAAUAUUUUUAAAUGCAGGCUUCUGGACUCCUACCCACACAUGCAGAGCCAGAAUCUAUAAUGACAAGAGUCAGGCAUGAUAGUGCACGCCCAUAAUCUCAGCAAAGGCUGGAGAGUUCAAGGCCAACCUGAGCUAUGCAGUAGGACUUUUGUCUCAAAAUCCAAGGGCUGAGGAAUGGAGCUGUGUCUGUCUCACUUUCCUGCCCUGUAAAAGCCUUGGGUUUGAGCCCAACCAUGGGCCAUCACAGACACUCAAACAUAUGCAAAGACUCUCUCGGGUUAGAAGCAGCCUUAAAGGCUCACGGGUGAUUCCAGUUCACAGUACUUGUUGGGCUAAAAAUGAGGACCAAGAGUUUGGAGAGAGGGCACUUGCUGUACUGACUGGCCAUGUAAUACACAGGUUUGUCAGGGUUAUGGCUCUGCAGAUCCUAUGAAUUUGAGCUUUCGCUGACCAAAGUAGAGAAAGAAUUCAACUCAGGUGAUGGAGUCAACGUCCUCUUGGACCCUUUCUUUUGUUCAUACUGUCUGUCUCUCUGUGUCUCUGUCUCCCUCCCUCCACAGAGUCUCUGUCUGUAACGCAGACUGACCCUGACCUCACUGCCCUAGUGUCCCAGCUUCCCUAGGGUCGGGAUUACAGGACAUGCCCGCAUGCUGCCAGAUCCUUCCUAACUUCUGAGUCACAGGGUUAGGUCAUGGAGUCAACAGUGGAACAAGGAAGACUCAGCCCAGAGCCUGUAGAGCGGAGACGAGCUCCUGUCCGUCAGUCAGCAGAUGAAACUGUGGUCAGAAAACAGUGGGCUGAGAGAGCAGAGAAAGAUGCCCGUGCCCUGAGAGGGCAGCGGGAGGAGAAGGACCCCCUGCAGUAGGGGAGGGCACAUCUGGGAGUCAAAGCUGAAGUCCCGAAUGCCUUCGUCCCUCUCCUAGAAGAUACAAGCGAUACCAGACAGCAGAUGGCCUAGGUGUGGCCGCAGAGUAGGCCUGGGGCGGCCUUGGGUUUACAGUGGAGCUGAGAAAGCUGUCAGAAGGGCAGUCCGGUAACGAAGCAAUGAAUUCUGGUGUUGGGUUAUGAGGAGCCUAGCAGGGGAUUGGCCCAAAUCAGGCUUCUCUGUUUGUAUAAAGCCCCACAAUCAUGUGUACAAGAAUUGUUGAAAUAAAUGGAUACUUUCACAUUUUUAAAAUAAUUAAGCUGGGCGUGGUGCACACUUGCAGUCCCAGCUCUCCUGAGUAGGAAGAUUAUGGGCUUGUUAGUGGGCUCUCACUCCCCUUCCAUAGAUAGAUAUACAUGGAUACAUAUAUAUGGUACUAUAAAUAUAGCAUGCAUAUAUAUAGCAUGCAUGUGCACUCAAAACUCAAGAACUACGAAAGGCUUAAAGUGAAAGUGUACUCCACAUCCAUCCCAUGGUUCGCAUAUGUGCACACAGCGUGUCCAACCGCCACCCUGGGGCAAACGGUGGCACGUGUGUGGCUUCUUGUCCCCCAGUAUAUCUUAAAUAAUUGAUAGCUGCUACCAAAAAGUGUCUUUGACCCAACUCCCCUUUCCUUGAUGACAGAAUACACCAUCGCCCGAAUCUGCUGUGCUUUGUUAACCGGUUUCUUGCCAAUGGACCCAGAUUGGCUGUAGUGAGUAAGAAUUCACAAUAAGGGGUGGGGAUUUAGCUCAGUGGCAGAGCGCUUGCCUAGCAAGUGCAAGGCCCUGGGUUCGGUCCCCAGCUCCGAAAAAAAGAAAAAAAAAGAAUUCACAAUAAAUAUGUAGUGGGUAAUAAAGUCCCGAGGUAGCGAUGCUGGGUCAGAGGGCACCUACAUUAAAAUUUCUUCAGUGUGGCCAAAUGGCUUUUUACUCACACAUCACACACACACACAGUCACAAACACACACUCAUACAUACACACAUACAUACACACACACACACAUUCACACAGUCACACACACAUACAUACUCAUACAUACACACACAGUCACACACACAUACAUACUCAUACAUGCACACACACACACACACACACACACACACUCACACCCACUCUGUUUCCAAAGCCCCUUGCUAAAUGCUAUAUACUGUCAGAAAUCUGAUAAAUUGGAGCCUGUAUUGAUAAUAGUUCUAGUCUUCAGUUUGUCUUACAAUGAAUGGCGUCAGAUGGUUCUGUUUGAUCAUUUGGGUUUUCUGUAUGAGGCCUCUGGAUACCCUCUGCUCGUUUUCCUGGGUUAUUGAUCAAUUUCUCGGUGCUUUGUAAGAAGCCCUCCAUGCAUUAGGGCACCAGCCUUUUAAAAAUAACUUGUACGUAGUUUUGUAAUCAGUGGCUUCUCUUUUAACUGUGCUUAUGGCCUCUGCCCUGUAUACAUCUGUAGACAGUCAAAUUUAUCGGCUUUUCUAUGUGUUUCCUACAGUUUCUGUUAUGCUUUUAAAGUCCUUAAAAGGGAUUGGACCUGCUGAAUCUGCUAAGACAGCCAAACAACACCCUUUAGGCUCUGUGCAAUACAGAACUGAACUUCCAGAGAGAUGUUUGUGGAUGUCUGUCUGUCUGAAUUCAUUUGAGGAAGAAGGGUUCUGUGACUGCUGCCAAGAAGCCUCUGCAGAGUUCCAUGUGCAUCUUCACAGUGCCCAGCACCAGGGCUUUGCCCAAGAAGACCAUCCAUAUACAGAAGUAGAUCAGAUCAUCACCCAGCUCAGCCAUGACUUUACGGACACGGCCUCUGGAGCCAAGCUUCCCACGCUGUAGGGUCCCUGGCUUCUGACUGUGACCCACUCUAUCUUGAGACUCCACCCUCUAGCCAGCCAUCUCAUCUCAGAGCAGCAUCUCCCGGGAUGGAGAAGGAAAGGAGCAGACAGACUCCCAGGUAUCCCAGGGCAGAAUGGGACAGUGGACAGCAGAACGGCACCAGCUGAACCCGCAGAGGCUGGCGAGGUGCCUAGACCAGAAGCAAACAGUCAGGAUCUGGGGACAUCAGUCGGUGUGUUUGUCCCUCCUCCCUCCCCUACCAAAGUGACUUUGGACCAGCUCUGCCCUUAGGGACCUCUGCUCUGACCCAGACCUGGCACUCGCUGGCCAUGGCACUUGCUGGCCACAAGCGCAAGAUCUAGUUCCCUAGUGUUGGGAAGAAGCCAGGGGCUUUCUGGCCACACACCUCAUUUUUUUUGUCCCAUGAGCUUCUAGUCUCUGCAGUGCCAAGACAAAUGCUAGCAGACAUGGCUUCUCCUUUCCUCUUCCAUGCCCCAAGUCAAAACCCCUAGCCUCCUGUCUGCCCUUGGCCCACCCACAGAACUGCCUCUCCCUUCCUGACGCCCUUCUCUGGCAGCCCUCAGACAGAGCUGCUGAGUUUUAGACCAUCUAAUCCCCCAGGCCUCCGGGAAGAUGGCUCCUAGAACCUGAGUACUCUGGGCAGCCCCUGGCUCUAUUCCCCACAGGCCGGCCAGCUCCCCUGAUGCUGCUUCACAGUCUCGGACCAGCUGUCAGCCCAUGGGGACUCCACAGCAGGUGGGCCUGCAGAUGACCCCCCUGACUUCCCUUUCCCUUUUGCUCCCUCCCUCUGCUAGCCAGUCAGUAUAGAACCCCAUUGCUCCCACCGCUUUGUGGCCCCCAGCCUCUCCAUGCCUUGUCUCCCAGGUCCAGCCCCUGCUCAGAACACUGCCCCUAGGAAUUCCAGAGACAGAUAGAACCAGAUGCAGGGUCUACCUGGUCAGCUGCCCACUGACUAGAGCUAGCUGGGAUAGCAGGGAGACCAGAGCUUAAGCACCCCCAAAAAGCCAGUAGCCCCAGCCCUUGGGGGGUGCGACUAUAAUGCUAUCUGUGCGAUGCCAACACGCUGCCAAUCUGCCAGGUCCUGACUAAAGGAGUCUGGCCUGGGAAUGCCUUCCACCUCUGUCCACACAGGACACCAGACAGAACUCUGCAGUAGGCUUGUCCAGCCACAAGCAGCUACCCACAGAGAGGAGGUUGGCACGGGGUGGUGGGGUGCACAAAGAAGCUGGAGCAGUAGCCCAGCGACUACUCCACCCCACCCCCACCAAGCACUUGCCUCUUCUCAGAGACAAGGGAUAGUUGGUGUUGCCCACCCCCACGGCAGCCUCCCUUUCCACAGGCAUGUGGUCUCUCCUGCUCUCUGAAAGGGCUGUUUAUAUCCCCUCCCCCACCCCCACCCCCACGCUCACACAGAUCUUCGGGAACAUAUGAAGCAGAGGAGGGGCUUAGGCUGCGGUACUCCCAGCACACCCUCCCCCAUGCACUUAGCUGAAACCUGGCCUCGACCUUUCCCCCGGGCCCAGGAUGAAGCUGGGGGCCUCUGGGGAAUGCUCUCAUCUCUUCCCUGCACCCUAGUCAGUUGGAGCUUCCCACCCAGAGCACUGUUGUCCCGGGGUCAGUGUCUCACCUGCCAACUGUGCGUCACCCUCUUCCCUCCCUCCCCCCAGGACCUCCUCCCAUUUCUUACAGCCACGCCAUUAAUCUGGAGACACAAAUGGGUUUGCUAUUGAUUCCUUGGCCACUGUUUCUUAUUACAAUUUGUACUGUGGUCCUUCUCACCCUCUCUGCCUGUGUGUUUGUCUCUUUAAAUGCUGAAGCUGCCAGAAGUCUGGUGCUAUUCUGUCUCCUUUUGGAGGAAGAAAGGGGGGCCUACUGUGGGUGAGGGCCUAAGUUGUCAGUUUGGAAACAGAGCAACCGCGUGCCAAGCUCCUCGGAGGCCCUGUUCGGCCUUUUAAUGCCAUUUUCUUUAAGUUUUACAGUCUUGAUUGGGGACAUGUCAAUAAGAUUGUUAAUAACCUAGAGCGGAGAAGACCAGGCUGGAGUCCAGUGCGUUGGUGUCCAGGCUGCCCUUCAGUAACCGUAGACACAGGUCAGGGUCCAGUCAACCGCCAAGCACUCACUGGAGAGCAGCGUGCGCCCCUGCAAAGGAGGCUGCGUGAGCGCCUCGCCUGGGACCAGGAGCGGUCAAGACACCUGUUCCUGCCUUGUCCCCUCUUCCCUGUCCUGUCUGGCACUUUAAGCUGUUUAGUGAGCAGUCACCUACAGAGAGAAGCUUGUUGCCUGCUGUCAUGACUCCUGUCCAGUAGGUAUCAUUGCCCAAGUCCCUCUCUUCUUCCCCAGUGCCCAGGCAGUGACUUACUUCGGGACCCUCCUGGGGACAAUGCCUGUCUUCUUAUGGUCUAUGGGAAUACGUGUUCCCUGCCUGCUUCCCCAGGAUGACACCUCCCAGGGAGGGGGGAAGAACUUCCUUGUGCCUUCCUCAGACCCCGAUCUACACUACUUCACGCUUCACGGUAAGAGCCUGUGGAACUAGGUUCUGAUACCCUCACAUCUCAUGCUGCCAAGACCCACGCCCACCUCACGCCUGGUCCGUCCCAAGCGUGACCUUGAACACCUGUCAGGCCAAAAUCUCAGUCGCUUUAUCUGUUCCCACUUCCAGCCGUAGGUUUAGGUUAGAGGGGAGCCGUGAACACCAAGACCCAACUCGGACAGAUGGCUGCUGUCGGACGCAUUCAGGCCCCUUUGUGGCUCCUUGACCAGGGAGUCAAGUCCACUUUCCACAGACCCUUCUUCCCCAGCAGGUGACCUAGACUUGGAACCAGAUGCCACCAUGUCUGGCCACCAUCCACCUUCAUCACGUGUCACUUUAUGUCUCGCUUAGAAGAGAAGUGGCUUUCAGUGCUGUGCCCUCUGGCCUACCUAACACCUCUGUCAGUCUCCUGCUCCACCCUGCCACCUCUCCUAUGCUGCCAUUCUUGAGGCUGUUCUGUCCUGGAAGUGGGUUCAACAGCUUGAAUGAGACAACACCCCCUGGUCUUUGGUGACUUCCUGUAUCCACUUACCACCCCUGUCCUGAGCUUCAGGUGGCUUUGCCUGCAGCAUGGCACUGCAAUUGUCUAGUCCACGGUCAUCUGAGAGCUUGGUAAUGACCCAAGUCAGGUCCCCUUUCUCCCCACUUUAGCCUGGUCUCUCACCCUCUUCCUGAUCAUCGUCCACUGGCUUAUCCAUUCCAUCCGGGCCUUAGUUAGGUUCCUACUCUGUCAGCUCCCACUAUCUGGCCCUUUUCUCAUUGGAACUUCACUUCUUUUUUUUUUUUUUGGUUCUUUUUUUUGGAGCUGGGGACCGAACCCAGGGCCUUGCGCUUCCUAGGCAAGCGCUCUACCACUGAGCUAAAUCCCCAACCCCCGGAACUUCACUUCUGCUAUGUGACCUACACCAGUAAUUCUGCCCAACACAUUUUUUAUGUGCAUGUGCAUGUUCAUGUGUGGCUACACAUGUGUGUGCAGGUGCACAUAUGUGUACAUGUGGCAGAUGGAGAAUGACCUCAGACGUCAUCCGGAACAAUCACCUAUCUCCUUUGAAACAUGGUCUUAUUGGUCUAGAGAGCCCCGGGGUCCCAUCUCCUCACCAGUGCUGGUAUCACAAGCACAUGCCACCACCUUCCCGUAUCCUGCAGAACUCCAGAAUAAGGAGGGAUCUGCUGAGUGAGGAGGAUCUGGCUGAGACAAACCUGAUCGCUUAUUCCUCCACAUCUUGAGCUCCUGCUUCCUGACCUGCGUGAGUUCCAGUCCUGACUUCCUUUGGUGGUGAACAGCAAUGCGAAAAGUGUAAGCUGAAUAAACCCUUUCCUCCCCAA
Non-coding RNA from Rattus norvegicus (Norway rat), 8153 nucleotides. The record is from RefSeq and is a predicted model, not a curated record. Lineage: Eukaryota; Metazoa; Chordata; Mammalia; Rodentia; Muridae.